GGAUUGUAGCUCAGUGGUAGAGCGCGUGCCUAGCAGUGCGAGAGCUGGGUUCGAUCUUCAGCACCA
This 66-nucleotide transfer RNA is filed under the name Marmota monax (woodchuck). Its description in RNAcentral is "tRNA.Undet". Lineage: Eukaryota; Metazoa; Chordata; Mammalia; Rodentia; Sciuridae. The record is from RNAcentral.